RNAcentral lists this ribosomal RNA (479 nucleotides) under uncultured bacterium. RNAcentral describes it as "bacterial SSU rRNA". It matches the Rfam family "Bacterial small subunit ribosomal RNA", at positions 30 to 504 of the family's 1533-position model. The record is from RNAcentral.
UGAACGCUGGCGGCAGGCCUAACACAUGCAAGUCGAGCGGUAGAGAGAAGCUUGCUUCUCUUGAGAGCGGCGGACGGGUGAGUAAUGCCUAGGAAUCUGCCUGGUAGUGGGGGAUAACGUUCGGAAACGGACGCUAAUACCGCAUACGUCCUACGGGAGAAAGCAGGGGACCUUCGGGCCUUGCGCUAUCAGAUGAGCCUAGGUCGGAUUAGCUAGUUGGUGAGGUAAUGGCUCACCAAGGCGACGAUCCGUAACUGGUCUGAGAGGAUGAUCAGCCACACUGGGACUGAGACACGGCCCAGACUCCUACGGGAGGCAGCAGUGGGGAAUAUUGCACAAUGGGCGAAAGCCUGAUCCAGCCAUGCCGCGUGUGUGAAGAAGGUCUUCGGAUUGUAAAGCACUUUAAGUUGGGAGGAAGGGCAGUUACCUAAUACGUAAUUGUUUUGACGUUACCGACAGAAUAAGCACCGGCUAACUCU